UGGGGAAUAUUGGACAAUGGGCGAAAGCCUGAUCCAGCCAUGCCGCGUGUGUGAAGAAGGUCUUCGGAUUGUAAAGCACUUUAAGUUGGGAGGAAGGGCAGUAAGCUAAUACCUUGCUGUUUUGACGUUACCGACAGAAUAAGCACCGGCUAACUUCGUGCCAGCAGCCGCGGUAAUACGAAGGGUGCAAGCGUUAAUCGGAAUUACUGGGCGUAAAGCGCGCGUAGGUGGUUUGAUAAGUUGGAUGUGAAAGCCCCGGGCUCAACCUGGGAAUUGCAUCCAAAACUGUCUGACUAGAGUAUGGCAGAGGGUGGUGGAAUUUCCUGUGUAGCGGUGAAAUGCGUAGAUAUAGGAAGGAACACCAGUGGCGAAGGCGACCACCUGGGCUAAUACUGACACUGAGGUGCGAAAGCGUGGGGAGCAAACAGG
Molecule: ribosomal RNA, 429 nt
Filed under: uncultured Pseudomonas sp.
Lineage: Bacteria; Pseudomonadati; Pseudomonadota; Gammaproteobacteria; Pseudomonadales; Pseudomonadaceae
Description: bacterial SSU rRNA
Rfam family: Bacterial small subunit ribosomal RNA
Source: RNAcentral